This is a long non-coding RNA of Tachysurus fulvidraco (yellow catfish), 489 nucleotides long. RefSeq lists it as uncharacterized. Lineage: Eukaryota; Metazoa; Chordata; Actinopteri; Siluriformes; Bagridae. The transcript has 2 exons. The record is from RefSeq and is a predicted model, not a curated record.
AAGGAAACACACACCGACUGUCAGAUUCAGCAUUACCGCUCUCCCAGUGUGUGUGUGUGUGUGUGUGUGUGUGUGUGUUGGACCGCCCCAGCUUGCACCGGGGGACACCGGCGUGACGUCAGCGACCACGCCCACCACGGGUUUCCUCAAACUGCCCAGAACCCUGCCUGUGUGGUGUAUAAACUGGUGUUCAGGGUGUUUUCCUGCUUCACACCACAGCUCCUGAGCUCCACACCUCAGAUACACAAACAGUGAUAGCUGAAGAUGAAGGAAUGUGUUGAGGAUUUGUUAAUAAAUCAUCUGAGUGUAAUAAGGUGUGAGAUCUGAUGUUAAAGCCAGGAAAGUAGUUAUAAACUGUUCCAAAUCAAUCUGCCUUGACUCGCCCCAAUCAUCACACCCUUCAGAAGUACAAAGUGUUUAUACACACACAAAGAUUGUACACACACACACACACACCAGAAUGUUAAUAAAGCUGUCAGUUUGAUGUUG